RNAcentral lists this ribosomal RNA (487 nucleotides) under uncultured bacterium. RNAcentral's name for it is "partial 16S ribosomal RNA". It matches the Rfam family "Bacterial small subunit ribosomal RNA", at positions 28 to 507 of the family's 1533-position model. The record is from RNAcentral.
GAUGAACGCUAGCGAUAGGCUUAACACAUGCAAGUCGAGGGGCAGCACAAGGUAGCUUGCUAUCUGGGUGGCGACCGGCGCACGGGUGCGUAACGCGUAUGCAACUUGCCCUAUACAGGAGGAUAACCCGUCGAAAGACGGACUAAUACUGCGUAUGCUCACAACUUGGCAUCAAGUGGUGAGGAAAGAAAUUCGGUAUAGGAUAGGCAUGCGUCCCAUUAGCUUGUUGGUGAGGUAACGGCUCACCAAGGCAACGAUGGGUAGGGGAACUGAGAGGUUUAUCCCCCACACUGGUACAGAGACACGGACCAGACUCCUACGGGAGGCAGCAGUGAGGAAUAUUGGUCAAUGGGCGCGAGCCUGAACCAGCCAAGUCGCGUGAAGGAUGACUGUCUUAUGGAUUGUAAACUUCUUUUAUACGGGAAUAACAAGAGUCACGUGUGACUCCCUGCAUGUACCGUAUGAAUAAGCAUCGGCUAACUCCGUG